GAGUUUGAUUCUGGCUCAGGAUGAACGCUGGCGGCGUGCUUAACACAUGCAAGUCGAACGAACGACUAUUAACAGAACCUUUCGGGGCGAAGAUGAUAGAAGUUAGUGGCGGACGGGUGCGUAACGCGUGGGUAAUCUGCCUUUGUCAAAGGAAUAACUAUUCGAAAGAAUAGCUAAAACCGUAUAAAAUAUUAAUAGGGCAUCCUAAUAAUAUCAAAACGAUAGUGGACAAAGAUGAGCCCGCGUCUGAUUAGCUAGUUGGUGAGAUAAAAGCCCACCAAGGCAACGAUCAGUAGCCGACCUGAGAGGGUGAACGGCCACAUUGGAACUGAGACACGGUCCAAACUCCUACGGGAGGCAGCAGUGGGGAAUAUUGCACAAUGGGGGGAACCCUGAUGCAGCAACGCCGCGUGAGUGAAGAAGGCAUUCGUGUCGUAAAACUCUGUA
This 447-nucleotide ribosomal RNA is filed under the name Filifactor alocis. RNAcentral describes it as "bacterial SSU rRNA". It matches the Rfam family "Bacterial small subunit ribosomal RNA", at positions 9 to 437 of the family's 1533-position model. Lineage: Bacteria; Bacillati; Bacillota; Clostridia; Peptostreptococcales; Filifactoraceae. The record is from RNAcentral.